AUGGGGCUGUCGUCUGUGCUUCUGCUGGCGCUGCUGCUCUUGCCGGCGGUGGCGUCGGCUGGGCAUCACGACUACGGCGACGCCCUCCACAAGAGCAUACUCUUCUUCGAGGGGCAGCGCUCCGGCAGGCUUCCUCCCGACCAGCGCCUCCGCUGGCGCCGCGACUCCGGCCUCCACGACGGCGCCGCCGCCGGCGUGGACCUGACGGGAGGGUACUACGACGCCGGCGACAACGUGAAGUUCGGGUUCCCGAUGGCGUUCACGGCGACGCUCAUGUCGUGGGGGCUGAUCGACUUCGGCCGCAGCUUCGGGCCGCACAAGGAGGAGGCGAGGAAGGCGGUGCGGUGGGCGACGGACUACUUCAUGAAGGCCACGGCCAAGCGCAACACGGUGUACGUGCAGGUGGGCGACGCCUCCAAGGACCACUCCUGCUGGGAGCGGCCCGAGGACAUGGACACCCCGCGCACCGUCUACAAGGUCGACCCCUCCCACCCGGGCUCCGACGUCGCCGCCGAGACCGCCGCCGCCCUCGCCGCCGGCUCCAUCGUCUUCCGCGACGCCGACCCCGUCUAUUCCCAGCGCCUCCUCGACCGCGCCAUGGCCGUGUUCAAGUUCGCGGACAGGUACCGGGGCGCCUACAGCAGCAGCCUCCACGCGGCGGUGUGCCCCUGCUACUGCGACUUCGACGGGUACCAGGACGAGCUGCUGUGGGCGGCGGCGUGGCUGCACAAGGCGUCCCGGAGGCGGGAGUACCGGCAGUACAUCAAGAGGAACGAGGUGGUGCUCGGCGCCAGCGACUCCAUCAACGAGUUCGGCUGGGACAACAAGCACGCCGGCAUCAACGUCCUCAUCUCCAAGGAGGUUCUAAUGGGGAAGGACGAGUACUUCCAGUCCUUCCGCGCCAACGCCAACAACUUCAUGUGCACCCUCCUCCCCGGCAUCUCCGACCACCCCCAGAUCCAGUACUCCCCAGGCGGGCUGCUGUUCAAGGUCGGGGGCAGCAACAUGCAGCACGUGACGUCGCUCUCCUUCCUCAUCCUGGCCUACUCCAACUACCUGAGCCACGCGGGCGCGCACGUCUCCUGCGGCGGCGGCGGCGGCAGAUCCGCGCCGCCGACGAAGCUCCGGCAGGUGGCCAAGCGGCAGGUGGACUACAUCCUCGGGGACAACCCGCUGCGCAUGUCCUACAUGGUCGGCUACGGCCCGCGGUUCCCGCGCCGGAUCCACCACCGCGGCAGCUCCAUCCCGUCGGUGGCGGCGCACCCGGCGAGGAUCGGGUGCAAGGCCGGCGCCGCCUACUACGCCAGCGCGGCGCCCAACCCGAACCUGCUGGUGGGCGCCGUCGUCGGCGGGCCCAGCGACGCCACCGACGCCUUCCCCGACGCGCGCGCCGUGUUCCAGCAGUCCGAGCCCACCACGUACAUCAACGCGCCGCUCAUGGGCCUCCUCGCCUACUUCUCCGCCCACCCCAACCCCGCCGAGUGGGCCGACGACUAA
RNAcentral lists this ribosomal RNA (1497 nucleotides) under Triticum aestivum (bread wheat). RNAcentral describes it as "partial small subunit ribosomal RNA". The record is from RNAcentral. Lineage: Eukaryota; Viridiplantae; Streptophyta; Magnoliopsida; Poales; Poaceae.